Molecule: ribosomal RNA, 278 nt
Filed under: Ranitomeya toraro
Lineage: Eukaryota; Metazoa; Chordata; Amphibia; Anura; Dendrobatidae
Description: partial 12S ribosomal RNA
Rfam family: Bacterial small subunit ribosomal RNA
Source: RNAcentral
GGGAACUACGAGCCAAGCUUAAAACCCAAAGGACUUGACGGUACCCCAUAUCCCCCUAGAGGAGCCUGUCCUAUAAUCGAUAACCCCCGUUUAACCUCACCAUUUCUAGCAAUUCAGCCUGUAUACCUCCGUCGUCAGCUUACCACGUGAGCGCUAGUGAGCUCAAUGUUUUUCCAACUAAACGUCAGGUCAAGGUGCAACACAUGAAAUGGAAAGAGAUGGGCUACACUUUCUAUCAUAGACUAUACGGAAGACUAACUAUGAAACCUAGUCAGAAG